GGCAACUACGGGCCGGCGGCCGUGGGUGUACGGAGGGUGCGGGGGGGUGCCGGAAUUACUGGGCGUAAAGAGGUCGUAUGUGGUGUGUCGCGUUGUUCGUGAAAACUCACAGCUUAACUGUGGGCGGGCGGGCGAUACGGGCAGACUAGAGUACUGCAGGGGAGACUGGAAUUCCUGGUGUAGCGGUGGAAUGCGCAGAUAUCAGGAGGAACACCGGUGGCGAAGGCGGGUCUCUGGGCAGUAACUGACGCUGAGGAGCGAAAGCGUGGGGAGCGAACAGGAUUAGAUACCCCUGUAGUC
RNAcentral lists this ribosomal RNA (300 nucleotides) under uncultured Olsenella sp. RNAcentral's name for it is "bacterial SSU rRNA". It matches the Rfam family "Bacterial small subunit ribosomal RNA", at positions 496 to 795 of the family's 1533-position model. The record is from RNAcentral. Lineage: Bacteria; Bacillati; Actinomycetota; Coriobacteriia; Coriobacteriales; Atopobiaceae.